GCGGUGGAGCAUGUGGUUUAAUUCACGCAACGCGCAGAACCUUACCUGGGCUUGACGUCCCGAUCGUACUUUCUGGAAACAGUUAGGUCAGUUCGGCUGGAUCGGUGACAGGUGCUGCAUGGCUGUCGUCAGCUCGUGUCGUGAGAUGUUGGGUUAAGUCCCGCAACGAGCGCAACCCUUGUCCUUAGUUGCCAGCAUUAAGUUGGGCACUCUAAGGAGACUGCCGGUGUUAAACCGGAGGAAGGUGGGGAUGACGUCAAGUCCUCAUGGCCCUUAUGUCCAGGGCUAUACACGUGCUACAAUGGCCGGUACAAAGGGCUGCAAGACCGUGAGGUUGAGCGAAUCCCAGAAAGCCGGUCUCAGUUCGGAUUGGAGUCUGCAACUCGACUCCAUGAAGUUGGAAUCGCUAGUAAUCGCGGAUCAGCAUGCCGCGGUCGAAUACGUUCCCGGGCCUU
RNAcentral lists this ribosomal RNA (455 nucleotides) under uncultured Pelobacter sp. RNAcentral describes it as "bacterial SSU rRNA". It matches the Rfam family "Bacterial small subunit ribosomal RNA", at positions 929 to 1382 of the family's 1533-position model. Lineage: Bacteria; Pseudomonadati; Thermodesulfobacteriota; Desulfuromonadia; Desulfuromonadales; Desulfuromonadaceae. The record is from RNAcentral.